RNAcentral lists this ribosomal RNA (427 nucleotides) under uncultured bacterium. Its description in RNAcentral is "partial 16S ribosomal RNA". It matches the Rfam family "Bacterial small subunit ribosomal RNA", at positions 355 to 774 of the family's 1533-position model. The record is from RNAcentral.
UGGGGAAUAUUGCACAAUGGGCGCAAGCCUGAUGCAGCCAUGCCGCGUGUAUGAAGAAGGCCUUCGGGUUGUAAAGUACUUUCAGCGGGGAGGAAGGCGAUAAGGUUAAUAACCUUGUCGAUUGACGUUACCCGCAGAAGAAGCACCGGCUAACUCCGUGCCAGCAGCCGCGGUAAUACGGAGGGUGCAAGCGUUAAUCGGAAUUACUGGGCGUAAAGCGCACGCAGGCGGUCUGUCAAGUCGGAGGUGAAAUCCCCGGGCUCAACCUGGGAACUGCAUUCGAAACGGGCAGGCUAGAGUCUUGUAGAGGGGGGUAGAAUUCCAGGUGUAGCGGUGAAAUGCGUAGAGAUCUGGAGGAAUACCGGUGGCGAAGGCGGCCCCCUGGACAAAGACUGACGCUCAGGUGCGAAAGCGUGGGGAGCAAACA